AAGAUCAUGAAACCGUGUAACAGAACUUCUGCAAAGCCCGGUCUAUCUAAUUGCUAUGCUUACUACUGCAGUAAUCUAAUUUAGUAGGAAAACAAAUUAGCUCAAUGUGCCAAGAAUUACAUUUGAAAAGCACAUCUCUUUCCAGAAAUCAAAACAUAGUUACUCAAGAUAAUCCACAAACCUCAUGAACAGUUUCAUUAAAAAAAUAUUAUGACAGUCAUCUUUGGUAGAAAAUAGUUCUCUAUGAAACUGCUCACAACAAUGGCUAUGGAUAGUCUUGAAUUACUGGGUCAUGAUUUCUGAAGGAAACAUUGUCUUCUUUGGUGUAAGAUAGCUGUCAAAAAGAUGUGUCCACAAUUUAAUCAUUCGUAUUUGUAAUGUUGACAAUUUGUGUGCAAAAAAAGUUGUUUAAGUGAAAUGCUGGUAAAGGGAGUUGGAACAAAAAUAGAAUAUUAGAACAUAAUGGGAGAUAGUCUGAACAUGACUGUGACUAAGAGUUAAUGAUACUGUACAAAAUGAUACAUAUUUGAAUUCUGAAGACAAUUCAAUUUCCAGUUCUUUAAUGUUGUAUGUUAAAACUUAUUCAUACUACAGAGCUGUAAUUAGAGAUAAUACUACCAGGUCUAGUAACUUCCCUGUGAGAAACCCUGGAAUGGGAAGUAAAGAAAAAAAUUAUGAAGUUUAAUAUUUAGUGCUCAAGCUACCUAAUAAAAAUGUUUUGUCUGUUAACGCAUUUCUGUGAGAGUUGUUGCUGUGUUGUUGAUUGCAACACCCAGCAUAGAAGUCUAUUUUCAUUCCCUUUGUCUGAGCCUCUGAAGACUCAAAACUCCCCGGAGUCCAUGUGUGCUUCUGCCAUAUUACGGACAACUGCUUUAUUAACCUUGGUCCAUACCAAUACAUACUAGGGACUUUUCAGGCUGUAUUAAAUGCAUGACCAAGGUGGGUUUUGGGCAACACACCUCAAUGGAGAAUGAAUUAAUGUUUUGUUUACAAAUUGCAUCAAACAAACCUCCAGGCCCUACCUACAAGGAACAGUGUGAACCGGACAAAACUAAUUUACAAGGUAUCAUUUUCACCUUUUUUUACUGCGAACUUUCAGAUAUGAAAAUAAACGUUAGCAGCUAACAUUAAGCUAGUUAGGCUAAAACAAGUGCUAACAAAUCAACAUUAGCUAACUUACCGACAGUCUGAGAUUCGUCACUGGAAAUAUAAAAAUCCUCUCGGUCGAGUUUAGUCUCCCUCAAAUUCUUGCAUUCACCGCCAUCGCUACUGUCGGCCGCCAUGGUGCUAGCAUCAGGUGCUGUUGGUUGCGUUUUUUCUGUACACGAGGGCAGUAUCGCCAAUAUGUCUUCUUUUACGGCUUUUCCAGAUCUGGUGAAAGGUCUUUUGGGCAUGGUGAAACAAACUUUUACAGAAAAAAAAAUCAGUUCAGUUGCAUGCACAUUGCAGGAGGCUGUUGUUGGCAAGAGAAAGGUCUGAAACGGUCUGAAUGUGCAUGAACAGUGAUGCUGCGUUCAAGUACAAGUCGGAGGUCGUAAAUUACCACUUCCAAGUAGGAAAAACUGAAUAACAGUCAGUAUGUUUUCUAAAUCCCAGUUCUUCGUAUGACGUAAUUUUACCAUGGCCACCCACAUCGUAAACGGCGAGAAAAUUUUACAUUUUAUGAGUUUUUAUGAAUUUUAAUUACCUCAACCACCGACUUUGUUACUCGAACGCACGUAGGUCUGAGAUAACUUUCCCACCUCCGACCAUACACGAACGCAGCAUGAACUGUAGCCUGUGACCUGUGACCUCAUGGCACAUUUUUGCAUUUUUGGCGCAAACAGGAAGUCUGAAUAGGUCGAACUCACGGAAAAAUGCCAGGUUUAGCCACUGAAAUGAAAGAGUUAAUUGAAGGCUCUAAGUCUAAAAGAAAACGAUCCUUGAAACUUAUAAAAUGGCUACAAAAAAGAAAGCUUCUCAAAAAGAAAAUAAAAUGCAACAUUUGCCAUCACCAAAUGAAGAUGAAGGCCUGCAGUCGUGGAGAUUUAUAUAAAUGGUAAGUAAAGUUACCCAAUCCCCCUUGAAUUAACUUAAUCUGCACCAGAUUACAUCACAGCAGGGCUGUACAGUGCGAGCGUUUCACUCGCAUAUGCGCCUAAAAAUAGAUCGGUGCAAGUAGAAAAAAUAAAAAGGGAGCACACGUGCGAGUACAGAUGUCAACCCUAUCAUUCGCAUUUGCUCCUAAAAUAAAUCCACACAAAGUGGAUCAAACUAAAAGUCAUAGCCUACACCUUCUUCUUCAACAACUUUUUUUCACAUCGGCACGCUACAACACGACAUGGUCAGAAAACCCGUGAGCUCCUCUCGACUCUCAGGCCGUCUCCCCCACACAGUACCGAGCAUCACACAGAUCGCCGCACUUUCUUAAAGCGACAGGCUCCUAUUUUUGUCUUUAGCUUUUAUGAACACAUUAACUUGAAAUAACCAAAUACUGUGUCUGUCUAAAUUAUAAUAAUGCAAAUGACACUAAAUUAAGCAUGUGAAACAGUUUAAAUACCAUAAAGUAAUAACUAAAACUGUCAUCAGUUAACCCAAUCUAUGCAUUCUGCACCUAUAAUCAGACUCCCCUACAAAUGCAAGAUAUGGCAUCAAAAUAUGUCUGGUAUUUAUGUAUAAAGUCUUUAAUAUAAGUAUAGUUCUUAAGUAUAAAGUUAUUUGUAAUUGUUGUUAUUUUUAUUGGGCCAGUUAACAAUAUAAUAGAAUUGAAAUUCUUUAUCCCACACCUGGGAAAUUAUUUGCUACAACGGCUACAACACCAAAUUACAACAAGUUUUUUUUUUUAAAUCCUAGUAAAUUACAGUCUGUAAGAACAGAUCACAGUAUGGCAGAUUAAGAACAGAGAGACUAUUUCAAAACUAGGACUUUAACAGAAAUAUGCAGGUUGAGUUAACUGUGCAGAUUGUAUGAUAUGAAAUAAAAUCUGCAGUCAGAUUGUGUUGGGCCACUUAACAAAAUAUGACUCCCCUAUUAUUUUGGCAAAGAAGUGACAACCUCCAAACUUUCUCAGCUACAACAUCUGCACCUCUGCUGCUGUUGUAUAAGGUCUUGUGUACAUGGUGGCUUCCACCGAGUUUUUUGCUUGGAAAUUAGAAAAAUGUAACACAAUGCCAUCUGAGUGAUAAUGGAAAAUAUGACAAAAGAAAGAAGUCAGUAGACCAAUCACACUCCAAAUGAAAGGAAGCCAUAUUGGUGAAAGUUUUGUUUUCUUUUGUGAGAACAAAAUCAAUAAUUCUUUACAAACUAAUUACAAAAUACACAUACAUAUGUACACCUCCUUUUAUGAGAACAAAAUCAAACAUAAUUCUUUGCAAACUAUUAACAAAAUACACACACACACACACACACACACUCUAAACAUGGGCUUUGGUGUUUCCUUGUGACGGAUGUAGUAUAGAUGUCCAUCUGUAAAAAAUACAUUGGUUUAUUAGUUCACAAAGUCCUGAGGACCAAUGAAGCUGAUGUAUCUGACACUGGUGAGGGAUGAUAAUCUAUUUUGUGGGAGAAGCUUUGUUUGUGCAAUGUCACUGUUAGAACUACAUCCAUUUAUUUGACCACCACCGAAGACCUCAUGAGGAUCAGCUUGGAGGGGCCAUGUCUUGAGGACUUUGAUCCAAGUCCUGCUGUGGACCGCUGGAUGAACUCAGCCAAGCGUGCCAGGACGACUUGAAUACAAAAAGAUGUGGGACAGGAUGUUCUCUGCGUUAAAUAACUGAGCCUACUGCUUGGCUUGUUGUGUGAAUGUUAAUAAUAAAAUUGUGCAAUUCAUCGUGAAAAUUCA
Molecule: long non-coding RNA, 3820 nt
Organism: Acanthochromis polyacanthus (spiny chromis)
Lineage: Eukaryota; Metazoa; Chordata; Actinopteri; Pomacentridae
Exons: 2
Source: RefSeq, a predicted model, not a curated record